RNAcentral lists this long non-coding RNA (422 nucleotides) under Ananas comosus (pineapple). RNAcentral's name for it is "long non-coding RNA (ACOM_LNC027166)". The record is from RNAcentral. Lineage: Eukaryota; Viridiplantae; Streptophyta; Magnoliopsida; Poales; Bromeliaceae.
AUGUCGGAUUUGACUAUAUAAUGGAUUGAGUCAUACUCAUUUUGGAGUGGAAUGGGAAUUGAAAUUCGAAUUCUGCAAAACAAACAAUAAUUAUAGGAACCGGUGAUUUCCAUUCUAAUUUCAGAGUUUAAAAUAAGUGAACCAAACUGACCGUCCCUUGAGCAAGUGGCAAAGGGCUUGGUGGUUGAUACCCGAGGUCCCAAAUUCGAAUCCUAGUUGGUUCACAUUUCCAGCUAAGUUUAUUUCUAAAUGAAAUAAACGAAAUGGGCAGCGUACUACCUAUCUUUCUCAAAAAAAAAAAAGAAAAAAAGGUGAACCAAAUAUUUCAUCCUCCCCCUCAACUACUAUACAGAACAACUGCUUAUAUCUAAAAACUUAAGCUAUCACAAAGUAAUAUGUUUUUAAUCAUUUGUAUUCAACAA